Long non-coding RNA from Nymphalis io (European peacock), 291 nucleotides. RefSeq lists it as uncharacterized. The record is from RefSeq and is a predicted model, not a curated record. Lineage: Eukaryota; Metazoa; Arthropoda; Insecta; Lepidoptera; Nymphalidae. The transcript is spliced from 2 exons.
UUAUAUAUACCUUAAGUACGACAAUAGAGUCUGCCAUUUCAUUGGCAAGCUCUUCUAGUUUGGGUCCGAUCAUCUUGCACGGUCCGCACCAGGUGGCCAUGAAGUCGAUGACCACGAGUUUCUCGCCAGCCUCGGACAGUCUAGUCUUGAGGUCAUCAGCGUCUUUGAUGUGAAUAGCCAUUUUCUUACCGAAUAUAAAAUAUUUCACGAUGAAAUGCUAAAAACCGGCGCGACACGCGGUAAUUGACACAAUCCACUGAAAUUAAAACGCCACAGAAUGCGGAGUGGCGA